Molecule: long non-coding RNA, 2029 nt
Organism: Ostrea edulis (European flat oyster)
Lineage: Eukaryota; Metazoa; Mollusca; Bivalvia; Ostreida; Ostreidae
Exons: 2
Source: RefSeq, a predicted model, not a curated record
GUUACAUAAUUGUGCACCUGUACGCACGUGCUAUUUCACAGGUAAAAUCCAUGCGUCCGAGUAUAAACGUUCGCGUAUGACCUUUAUAUUAGAGAUUCUGAAUGUUGAGUCAUCAGUUGUAAGCUAGACCGGUACAUGUUUAUCAAUGCAUUGAACAAUUCGUACGCACUAUGUUUUUAAAAGCGAUCGACCAUGGCAGGGGUCGUUGGCUCGAUUAGCCAAUGAAAUUACUCGUUACACUCAGCCAGUGCCUAGGUAACGAAUCGGAGACAUCAUACAAAACUAAGCGCAAUGUACAAGCAAUAUUGCAGCGAUUUGGCCUCACAGUCUUCUAACACUAGUGGGAAAAGCAACACACAGGAAAAAAUGGCAGAGAAUAAGAAGCCGAAAACUCAAAAAGAAUUGUGGGAUUUUCUUAAUGGUGGGGAGAGUUCGUCACUGCUUAAAAAGCACCUGAAACCAGAACUUUAUGAGAAAUUGAAGGACAAGAAAACAAAACUCGGCGGCACUAUAGCAGACUGUAUUCGUUCAGGUAGGCAUCAGCAACCGGUGAUUGAAAUACUGUCGUCAGAGAAAUUAUGUAUUUGUCGAACUUCAAAGAGAACCUAAUAUUCGAUCUGAUAAUGAAAAGAUUGAUUCAAUUCACCAUGUUAAAAGUAGGGCGUUGGUUUGUAAUUUCAUUUUUUUUCAUGUCCUCUUCGACCUUGCCAACUUCGGGUCUUUUCAGUCGGUUACUCUGACGCGUGACGUCACAUUACACAAAUCCCGUGGAAAACAUUUUGGAGGGAAGCCAAACCCCUUCUAUAGGCCUAUGUGAUUGUUGGGGGGGAAAAAUCAGAGUAAAAGAUAUGCUCCUCUCGAAUUGGAUCCACCAACGCGGAACUCCCAUAAAAUGCCGGCUCGAUGAAAAUUUAUGCGAUUAGAAAAUCAAUGUUAUUUCAAGGUCGCCAAUACUAGAUUCAAUAAAUUGUAAAUCGAUUUUACAUGUUGUGAGACUACAUGCAGUUACGUUUCCCACCUUAAAUUCAAACUAAUUUGGCAACAGUCAUUAUUUAAUGAAUAUUGAUGAAUCAACACCAGAAUAAGCCACCUGUGGGGAAUACAUCUGGUAGGACAAGUGAAGUUGAUAUUAUAGAAGGAAGGAAUGUAACAGCGGAAGUGGAGAUUCAUGCACAAAUAAGACAAUCCGCCAGACUUCCUCCUUCCUGCUCUUAAUGGAGCCGGGUCACCUUGACAAGGAAAGACUCGGGGCGAGUGGUGCAGCCGGAGUUAAUGUAGAUCUAGAAAGCUUUCGAGAAUAUGGCAAUGUUUUUUCUCAUUUGAAACGGAUAAUAAAUUUUGUGGGCCACUUGUGAUGUAAACAUCUUGAUUGUAUGUGAGAACUUGAGUGUUACCAGGAUGGAUUCUCUCCUUCACAACAUGCACGCGCGCACACACCACAUACAUGCACACAAUGCACGCGCGAGCACAAGCAUACAUCACAUACAUGCACACGUACGUACCACACAAGCAUGACCACACACAUGUACAAACUCAAAAACACAUGUCAUGAUCUGAAAGAAGUAGAUGAAUUGUGCAAAAACUGAAAUAUAAAAGUCUACAUAUUUUGAAACGAGCAUAGCUGCAGAUCUGUAGCGUUAUGGUUUUAUAUUCUUGUCUUUGACCAUAACGCUACAGUUCCUGUAACAUAAAUAUUGUGCAAUUUACGGCGCAAGAUUUUCUGCGCACGUUUGGGGAUGUAUUUAUCCACUUUCCAGCAUUGGGCAAUCAUCUACCCUUCAUUCCCUAAUUGUAAACAUUUUAUUACCAACCUGUAUAUUUUAUCCACCUCUCAAUCCUUUAUAAUCGUCUCUACAGACCGAUAAACUCGCUUGUUUUGAAUUUUCUGCCAUCCGACGGCCAUGUUGACCUACUGACGAGCCCUUCACCGACAAUGGUAACGUCUUAAUGUGAGUGAUAUAUUCUAUAUGACUUUAGUCAUUAUAUAAUCAAACAAUCAAUCGUACGCUGGUGAUGUUCUCUAAAUAGU